Acanthochromis polyacanthus (spiny chromis) is the source of this 1110-nucleotide long non-coding RNA. RefSeq lists it as uncharacterized. NCBI's taxonomy places the organism in Eukaryota, Metazoa, Chordata, Actinopteri, Pomacentridae. The record is from RefSeq and is a predicted model, not a curated record. The transcript is spliced from 3 exons.
UUGGAGGAGAGGGGCGCAAAUAGCACAGCUGGAGCAGAAGCUGGACUGGUGUCGGAGGUGAGUGAGCAGAGGCUGUGGGAGAGGAUGGCUGCCAUGGAAGCCAAAUUAAACAGCUUCUCCAGCGGGGAGGGAAUUCAGCAGAAAAGACAAAAACAAGUGCACAGUCCCAAAAUUGUGCUGGUCGAGGCAGACAGCCACCUAUCCCGAGUCUGGUUCUGUUGGAGGUUUCCUUUUGUUAAAGGGAAGUUUUUCCUCCCUCAUGCCAAGUGUUUGCUCAAUAGGGGAAUGUUGAUUUUCUUUCUAUAAUGCUGUAAGGUCUUGACCUCAUUGUGUAAAGUGCCAUUACAUGACUUAUGCUAUAAUUUGUCUGUAUUGAAGAAAAAGUAAACAAUUGAACUGACUUUCAUGUCUGUACAUUAAAUAUAAAUAUAGCAAGACAAUUACCUCAGCUUAGACAAAAAGCAUUCCACCAGCACCCCUGUUCACUGUUAAACAUUUUACUCAGUAUAUGCAGUAUACUGUCAGGGCUCCCCUGCUCUCUGUCUGUCCCACCUGGCAACCAAUUACCUUUUCCCUCUCUCUCUCCCUCCCCAUCUCUCUCUCGCCGCUGUGUCUGGAUGGAGGCAGUCUCACGGCUGUCUCCACUCAGUAAUCAGUGGCUUCCCCAGAUCCAGGCAGCAGAGUUAUAAACUGAUUUCCAGACCUGCUAUAAAAGACCGGCUACUUUAUCCACACCCUGCCAGAUCAUAGACUCUGCUUGUGCAUUCGACUCAGCUGCCUGGAUUACCUCCUGCCUCGUUGGAUUCUUCUGUGUGUUCUGUUUGGAUUAUCGGAUCUGAGUCCCUGCCUGCUCUACUGGAUUCCCAGAUCAGUCGACGUCUGGUUUCCCCACACCGACAACCAAGCCAUCGCUCUGCUCCACCACCAAGCCUCUACCUGCUCCAAGCUGUCACACUCUCGUCAUCCCACAGCAGCUGCAUACCAUCGUUCCCCGGCUCCAUCACCCACGCCACCCGCCAACAAUCAUCAGAUUCCCCCUGGACCCAAUUCCCCUCUCCCUCACUCUCCCUUAAAGAAUUCCCCAUUAAAUCUACACAUAAUCUGCCUCCA